RNAcentral lists this ribosomal RNA (226 nucleotides) under Citrobacter rodentium. RNAcentral describes it as "partial 16S ribosomal RNA". It matches the Rfam family "Bacterial small subunit ribosomal RNA", at positions 1 to 219 of the family's 1533-position model. The record is from RNAcentral. Lineage: Bacteria; Pseudomonadati; Pseudomonadota; Gammaproteobacteria; Enterobacterales; Enterobacteriaceae.
ACUUAAAUUGAAGAGUUUGAUCAUGGCUCAGAUUGAACGCUGGCGGCAGGCCUAACACAUGCAAGUCGAACGGUAACAGGAAGCAGCUUGCUGCUUUGCUGACGAGUGGCGGACGGGUGAGUAAUGUCUGGGAAACUGCCCGGUGGAGGGGGAUAACUACUGGAAACGGUAGCUAAUACCGCAUAACGUCGCAAGACCAAAGAGGGGGACCUUCGGGCCUCUUGCC